GUCCACGCUGUAAACGAUGGGUACUAGGCUUUAUGGGAUUUGACCCCUGUAGAGCCGGAGCUAACGCAAUAAGUACCCCGCCUGGGAAGUACGGUCGCAAGACUAAAACUCAAAGGAAUUGACGGGGGCCCGCACAAGCGGUGGAUCAUGUGGUUUAAUUCGAAGCAACGCGCAAAACCUUACCUAGGUUUGACAUCCUCUGACCGCUGUAGAAAUACAGUUUUUGUAGCAAUACAACAGAGAGACAGGUGCUGCAUGGCUGUCGU
This 266-nucleotide ribosomal RNA is filed under the name uncultured bacterium. RNAcentral describes it as "partial 16S ribosomal RNA". It matches the Rfam family "Bacterial small subunit ribosomal RNA", at positions 793 to 1055 of the family's 1533-position model. The record is from RNAcentral.